CCUGGUUGAUCCUGCCAGUAGUCAUAUGCUUGUCUCAAAGAUUAAGCCAUGUAUGUCUAAGUAUAAGCAACUAUACUGUGAAACUGCGAAUGGCUCAUUAAAUCAGUUAUCGUUUAUUUGAUAGUAACCUACUACAUGGAAUACCUGUGGAAAAUCUAGAGCUAAUACAUGCUAAAGCCCCAACUUCGGGAGGGGUGUGUUUAUUAGAUAAAAAGCCAACGCCCUUCGGGGCUUCUUGGUGAUUCAUGAUAACCUUUCUGAUCGCACGGCCCCGCGCCCGCGACGGUUCAUUCAAAUUUCUGCCCUAUCAACUUUCGAUGGUAGAGUAGUGGUCUACCAUGGUGUCAACGGGUAACGGGGAAUUAGGGUUCGAUUCCGGAGAGGGAGCCUGAGAAACGGCUACCACAUCCAAGGAAGGCAACAGGCGCGCAAAUUACACAAUGUCGACUCGACGAUGUAGUGACAAUAAAUACUGAUACAGGGCUCUUUUGGGUCUUGUAAUUGGAAUGAGUACAAUUUAAAUCUCUUAACGAGGAACAAUUAGAGGGCAAGUCUGGUGCCAGCAGCCGCGGUAAUUCCAGCUCUAAUAGCGUAUAUUAAAGUUGUUGCAGUUAAAAAGCUCGUAGUUGAACCUUUGGCUUGGCGGGGGCGUCCGCCUCACCGCGUGUUACGUGACCUGCCGAGCCUUUUUUUCUGGAGAACCGCAUGCCCUUCACUGGGUGUGUUGGGGACCAGGACUUUUACUUUGAAAAAAUUAGAGUGUUCAAAGCAGGCCUUUGCUCGAAUACGUUAGCAUGGAAUAAUGGAAUAGGACGUGCGGUCCUAUUUUGUU
RNAcentral lists this ribosomal RNA (832 nucleotides) under uncultured fungus. RNAcentral's name for it is "SSU rRNA". It matches the Rfam family "Eukaryotic small subunit ribosomal RNA", at positions 3 to 846 of the family's 1831-position model. The record is from RNAcentral. Lineage: Eukaryota; Fungi.